Molecule: ribosomal RNA, 239 nt
Filed under: uncultured bacterium
Lineage: Bacteria
Description: partial 16S ribosomal RNA
Rfam family: Bacterial small subunit ribosomal RNA
Source: RNAcentral
GAUCCUGGCUCAGGAUGAACGCUAGCUACAGGCUUAACACAUGCAAGUCGAGGGGCAGCAUGGUCUUAGCUUGCUAAGGCCGAUGGCGACCGGCGCACGGGUGAGUAACGCGUAUCCAACCUGCCUUACACUCUUGGACAGCCUUCUGAAAGGGAGAUUAAUACAAGAUGUUAUCAUGAGUAAGCAUUUUCACAUGAUUAAAGGUUUACCGGUGUAAGAUGGGGAGUGCGUUCCAUUAG